Molecule: transfer RNA, 77 nt
Filed under: Thermosediminibacter oceani DSM 16646
Lineage: Bacteria; Bacillati; Bacillota; Clostridia; Thermosediminibacterales; Thermosediminibacteraceae
Description: tRNA-fMet (CAT) (tRNA-fMet-CAT-2-1)
Rfam family: tRNA
About the family: Transfer RNA (tRNA) molecules are approximately 80 nucleotides in length. Their secondary structure includes four short double-helical elements and three loops (D, anti-codon, and T loops). Further hydrogen bonds mediate the characteristic L-shaped molecular structure. tRNAs have two regions of fundamental functional importance: the anti-codon, which is responsible for specific mRNA codon recognition, and the 3' end, to which the tRNAs corresponding amino acid is attached (by aminoacyl-tRNA synthetases). tRNAs cope with the degeneracy of the genetic code in two manners: having more than one tRNA (with a specific anti-codon) for a particular amino acid; and 'wobble' base-pairing, i.e. permitting non-standard base-pairing at the 3rd anti-codon position.
Source: RNAcentral
CGCGGGGUGGAGCAGUCUGGUAGCUCGUCGGGCUCAUAACCCGAAGGCCGCUGGUUCAAAUCCAGCCCCCGCCACCA